This 373-nucleotide ribosomal RNA is filed under the name uncultured organism. Its description in RNAcentral is "partial 16S ribosomal RNA". It matches the Rfam family "Bacterial small subunit ribosomal RNA", at positions 527 to 896 of the family's 1533-position model. The record is from RNAcentral.
GUAGGUGGCAAGCGUUGUCCGGAAUUAUUGGGCGUAAAGCGCGCGCAGGCGGUUCUUUAAGUCUGAUGUGAAAGCCCACGGCUCAACCGUGGAGGGUCAUUGGAAACUGGAGAACUUGAGUACAGAAGAGGAAAGCGGAAUUCCACGUGUAGCGGUGAAAUGCGUAGAGAUGUGGAGGAACACCAGUGGCGAAGGCGGCUUUCUGGUCUGUAACUGACGCUGAGGCGCGAAAGCGUGGGGAGCAAACAGGAUUAGAUACCCUGGUAGUCCACGCCGUAAACGAUGUGUGCUAAGUGUUAGGGGGGUUUCCGCCCCCCUUAGUGCUGCAGCUAACGCAUUAAGCACUCCGCCUGGGAGUACGGCCGCAAGGCUG